UUGUGUUUCACAUUUUAAAUCACAGAUCUGUAUCAUUUGAGAUUAAAGUGGGUAAAGUCCAUCUUGUUUUUUUUGACAUAAUGCAAAAAACGGGAUUAAACAAUGAGUAGUCAAUUUAGAAUUGAUGCGAAUACUUUGUUUUUUCUUCCAUGUAUGCAUACCUAUUCCUGCUAGUGAAGUUUUAUAUUCAUGUGUUCAUAUGUGGUACUAAACUGCAAAAUUAUCGCAAGAAGUACAAUAUUUGGAAUUUGAGGUCAUUGAUGAUGUAAAAUGAGGCAUAUAUUGCUUCAUCAUACGGUUAAAUGCCAUUUCUUUUCAUUUGUACAUGACUUGUUCAUUGGUCAAGCCAACAUGGCUCGAUCAUUUGCAAAACCAAUUCCAAGGGCUAUAUAUGGGACAUUUAAUGCAAAUGGAAGGGUACAGUUCCGG
RNAcentral lists this long non-coding RNA (429 nucleotides) under Panax ginseng (ginseng). RNAcentral describes it as "long non-coding RNA (PGIN_LNC003167)". Lineage: Eukaryota; Viridiplantae; Streptophyta; Magnoliopsida; Apiales; Araliaceae. The record is from RNAcentral.